RNAcentral lists this ribosomal RNA (534 nucleotides) under uncultured Enterobacter sp. RNAcentral describes it as "bacterial SSU rRNA". It matches the Rfam family "Bacterial small subunit ribosomal RNA", at positions 505 to 1040 of the family's 1533-position model. The record is from RNAcentral. Lineage: Bacteria; Pseudomonadati; Pseudomonadota; Gammaproteobacteria; Enterobacterales; Enterobacteriaceae.
GUGCCAGCCGCCGCGGUAAUACGGAGGGUGCAAGCGUUAAUCGGAAUUACUGGGCGUAAAGCGCACGCAGGCGGUCUGUCAAGUCGGAUGUGAAAUCCCCGGGCUCAACCCGGGAACUGCAUUCGAAACUGGCAGGCUUGAGUCUCGUAGAGGGGGGUAGAAUUCCAGGUGUAGCGGUGAAAUGCGUAGAGAUCUGGAGGAAUACCGGUGGCGAAGGCGGCCCCCUGGACGAAGACUGACGCUCAGGUGCGAAAGCGUGGGGAGCAAACAGGAUUAGAUACCCUGGUAGUCCACGCUGUAAACGAUGUCGACCUGGAGGUUGUGCCCUUGAGGCGUGGCUUCCGGAGCUAACGCGUUAAGUCGACCGCCUGGGGAUACGGCCGCAAGGUUAAAACUCAAAUGAAUUGACGGGGCCCGCACAAGCGGUGGAGCAUGUGGUUUAAUUCGAUGCAACGCGAAGAACCUUACCUGGUCUUGACAUCCACAGAAGUUUUCAGAGAUGAGAACGUGCCUUCGGGAACUGUGAGACAGGUG